GGGGUGGGGGCGUCUUACCAUGCAGUCGAACGGUGAAGCAGAGCUUGCUCUGUGGAUCAGUGGCGAACGGGUGAGUAACACGUGAGCAACCUGCCCCGGACUCUGGGAUAAGCGCUGGAAACGGCGUCUAAUACCGGAUACGAGAUUCCACCGCAUGGUGAGUUUCUGGAAAGAUUUUUUGGUCUGGGAUGGGCUCACGGCCUAUCAGCUUGUUGGUGAGGUAAUGGCUCACCAAGGCGUCGACGGGUAGCCGGCCUGAGAGGGUGACCGGCCACACUGGGACUGAGACACGGCCCAGACUCCUACGGGAGGCAGCAGUGGGGAAUAUUGCACAAUGGGCGGAAGCCUGAUGCAGCAACGCCGCGUGAGGGAUGACGGCCUUCGGGUUGUAAACCUCUUUUAGCAGGGAAGAAGCGAAAGUGACGGUACCUGCAGAAAAAGCGCCGGCUAACUACGUGCCAGCAGCCGCGGUAAUACGUAGGGCGCAAGCGUUAUCCGGAAUUAUUGGGCGUAAAGAGCUCGUAGGCGGUUUGUCGCGUCUGCUGUGAAAUCCCGAGGCUCAACCUCGGGUCUGCAGUGGGUACGGGCAGACUAGAGUGCGGUAGGGGAGAUUGGAAUUCCUGGUGUAGCGGUGGAAUGCGCAGAUAUCAGGAGGAACACCGAUGGCGAAGGCAGAUCUCUGGGCCGUUACUGACGCUGAGGAGCGAAAGGGUGGGGAGCAAACAGGCUUAGAUACCCUGGUAGUCCACCCCGUAAACGUUGGGAACUAGUUGUGGGGUCCAUUCCACGGAUUCCGUGAC
Molecule: ribosomal RNA, 800 nt
Filed under: Microbacterium sp. JSM 2185018
Lineage: Bacteria; Bacillati; Actinomycetota; Actinomycetes; Micrococcales; Microbacteriaceae
Description: bacterial SSU rRNA
Rfam family: Bacterial small subunit ribosomal RNA
Source: RNAcentral